ACCUGCGGAAGGAUCAUUGUCGAGACCCAACCACGAACGACCGAGAACACGUGAACCAAGUAUGCCGGCUCGGGCUCGUCCCGGCGAGCGGCACCGUGCGUCCAUCCCAUCCCAUCCCAACCCAACAGUUGGGUGGGAGGGUGGACCACGAUACGAACCCCCGGCGCAACGGGCGCCAAGGAACACGAACCUCGGGGGCAGCACACGACGGGCCCCACGUGGCCUUCUCAGCGCCCCCGACGAUGCAUUAGCAUAAUCUUGAACGACUCUCGGCAACGGAUAUCUCGGCUCUCGCAUCGAUGAAGAACGUAGCGAAAUGUGAUAUUUGGUGUGAAUUGCAGAAUCCCGUGAACCAUCGAGUCUUUGAACGCAAGUUGCGCCCGAGGCCUUGUGGCCGAGGGCACGCCUGCCUGGGCGUCACGCCAUUGACGCUCCAAGCCCGCCCGCCCCCCGGGGAGAGCGUGGCCAUGGACGCGGAAGCUGGCCCCCCGCGCCCUUGGGUGCGGCCGGCCUAAGACACGGCUGCCGGGUCCCCGUGGGACACGAUUGGUGGUGGAUGCCCUCGAGCGAGCCGAACAUCGUGCCCGCGGCUGCGCAGCCCAACACAGACCCCAUCAUCAGACCGCGACCCC
Molecule: ribosomal RNA, 632 nt
Filed under: Chamaecostus subsessilis
Lineage: Eukaryota; Viridiplantae; Streptophyta; Magnoliopsida; Zingiberales; Costaceae
Description: eukaryotic LSU rRNA
Rfam family: 5.8S ribosomal RNA (bases 265-420)
Source: RNAcentral